CCUAUUGACAGGCUAGUCAUGUGCAGAAGAAAGCACUGUUCAGAGACAAAGGCAGAAUACCAAGGAAUGUUAUCCACCCUUCUCCAUUUUAUAAAUCCCUGUUGGUCGCUACGGUCAGACUUUUGCCUUUGACGUAUUCCUGCUUUUCACCCCACAUCAGGUUCACUUGCUCCACAAGGCAAAAGGAGGUUCUGAAGUUACUUGGAAAGACACGAUAAACCCUUUCAUCUUCCAAGUUUUCGUGAACCCAUCUUGGAGAAGAAGGGUGGUAACAUUUGGUAGUGCUGAUGUCAGGAUACCCAGGAUUUCACUGUAGUAUAACAAGUGGUGAAGCUCAUGGGAAAUGCAUCAGUUCUCAUUCCGAGUCUGGCUGACAAAGAUAUGAACACUUAAUUAAGAUUUCUUUCAUCUCAUGAAAAUAGCCCUGAAGAUCUGAGCCUGACACGAGAGCUGCCAGCAAGAAUAGCAAAAGCAAAGUUUCCAGCUGUGGAAGAUCUUCAUUCAAGAACUUGCCCUCACAAACCAUCACACUUCUUUAAAUUGGGAGUGGGAUGUGGGUGCUUCCAAGUGGAUGACCUAACUCAAGCAAGAAACUCUUCUGACCCAUUCUCAUCCUUUGAAGUCCUCUCUCACGUAUGGAGAGACCUAUGGGAGGGAGAGCCUCUCUGCUCUGCAGGAACAGUGGAAUCAGUUGUGAAUGUUGCAGAAACAGUUGGCUUAGGCUUCCCAACAUGCCAUCUGUGAGCAAACAGAUUUUUUAGAUGACUGAUUCCAACAAAAUGCACAUUCUUUUUAUAUUUAUUUACAUACUUACAUGUAUAUUGAUUAAAAUCAGUCCAGUUUUGUUACGUUAAGUCAGUCUGUUGAUAAUUAAGCAUCUGUGCACGGGGAACAUUAGGAGCA
This is a long non-coding RNA of Gallus gallus (chicken), 903 nucleotides long. The record is from Ensembl. Lineage: Eukaryota; Metazoa; Chordata; Aves; Galliformes; Phasianidae.